AGACUUACCUGGCAGGGGCGGGACCAUGAUCAAGAAGGUGUUUCACCCAGGGCAAGGCUCAGCUGUUGCACUCCAGUUGUGCUGGCCCCUGCGAAUCCCCUAAAUGUGGGAAUCUCGACUGCAUCAUUUCUUUUUUUAUUUUAUUUUAUGCAAUUUU
Small nuclear RNA from Trichomycterus rosablanca, 157 nucleotides. RefSeq annotates it as U1 spliceosomal RNA. The transcript has a single exon. The record is from RefSeq and is a predicted model, not a curated record. Lineage: Eukaryota; Metazoa; Chordata; Actinopteri; Siluriformes; Trichomycteridae.